AACGAACGCUGGCGGCAUGCCUAACACAUGCAAGUCGAACGAGACCUUCGGGUCUAGUGGCGCACGGGUGCGUAACGCGUGGGAACCUGCCCUUAGGUUCGGAAUAACUCCCCGAAAGGGGUGCUAAUACCGGAUAAUGUCUUCGGACCAAAGAUUUAUCGCCUUUGGAUGGGCCCGCGUUGGAUUAGCUAGUUGGUAGGGUAAUAGCCUACCAAGGCGACGAUCCAUAGCUGGUCUGAGAGGAUGGUCAGCCACACUGGGACAGAGACACGGCCCAGACUCCUACGGGAGGCAGCAGUGGGGAAUAUGGGACGAUGGGCGAGAGCCUGAUCCAGCAAGGCCGCGUGAGUGAUGAAGGCCUUAGGGUUGUAAAGCUCUUUUACCCGGGAUGAUAAUGACAGUACCGGGAGAAUAAGCGCCGGCUAACUCCGU
This 432-nucleotide ribosomal RNA is filed under the name uncultured bacterium. Its description in RNAcentral is "partial 16S ribosomal RNA". It matches the Rfam family "Bacterial small subunit ribosomal RNA", at positions 29 to 506 of the family's 1533-position model. The record is from RNAcentral.